GGUUAGAUAUUCAAGUAUGAUGUAAAAUUGCAAGUUUUAUGGUGAUUUAAUAUCUCUAGCCU
Molecule: transfer RNA, 62 nt
Filed under: Cucujoidea sp. 37 KM-2017
Lineage: Eukaryota; Metazoa; Arthropoda; Insecta; Coleoptera
Description: tRNA-Cys
Source: RNAcentral